UAGUUUUGCCGUCUGUAGGCAGCUUGUGU
This 29-nucleotide non-coding RNA is filed under the name Macaca fascicularis (crab-eating macaque). The record is from RNAcentral. Lineage: Eukaryota; Metazoa; Chordata; Mammalia; Primates; Cercopithecidae. RNAcentral also lists the same sequence under 1 other name.